Molecule: ribosomal RNA, 604 nt
Filed under: uncultured bacterium
Lineage: Bacteria
Description: bacterial SSU rRNA
Rfam family: Bacterial small subunit ribosomal RNA
Source: RNAcentral
AAAAACUGAGGUGGUAUACGAUGGUUCCGCGUCUGAUUAGCUAGUUGGUGGGGUAAAAGCCUACCAAGGCAACGAUCAGUAGCCGGCCUGAGAGGGUGAACGGCCACAUUGGGACUGAGACACGGCCCAAACUCCUACGGGAGGCAGCAGUGGGGAAUAUUGCACAAUGGGGGAAACCCUGAUGCAGCGACGCCGCGUGAGUGAAGAAGUAUUUCGGUAUGUAAAGCUCUAUCAGCAGGGAAGAAAUACUGACCAUAGGGUCAGCAGACGGUACUUGACUAAGAAGCCCCGGCUAACUACGUGCCAGCAGCCGCGGUAAUACGUAGGGGGCAAGCGUUAUCCGGAUUUACUGGGUGUAAAGGGAGCGUAGACGGCAGCGCAAGUCUGAAGUGAAAUGCCAGGGCUUAACCCCGGAACUGCUUUGGAAACUGUGCAGCUAGAGUGCAGGAGAGGUAAGUGGAAUUUCUAGUGUAGCGGUGAAAUGCGUAGAUAUUAGGAGGAACACCAGUGGCGAAGGCGGCUUACUGGACUGUAACUGACGUUGAGGCUCGAAAGCGUGGGGAGCAAACAGGAUUAGAUACCCUGGUAGUCCACGCUGUAAACG